GGGUGAUUAGCUCAGCUGGGAGCGCACCUCCCUUACAAGGAGGGGGUCGGCGGUUCGAUCCCGUCAUCACCCACCA
Molecule: transfer RNA, 76 nt
Filed under: Klebsiella pneumoniae
Lineage: Bacteria; Pseudomonadati; Pseudomonadota; Gammaproteobacteria; Enterobacterales; Enterobacteriaceae
Also listed under: 1 other name
Description: tRNA-Val
Rfam family: tRNA
About the family: Transfer RNA (tRNA) molecules are approximately 80 nucleotides in length. Their secondary structure includes four short double-helical elements and three loops (D, anti-codon, and T loops). Further hydrogen bonds mediate the characteristic L-shaped molecular structure. tRNAs have two regions of fundamental functional importance: the anti-codon, which is responsible for specific mRNA codon recognition, and the 3' end, to which the tRNAs corresponding amino acid is attached (by aminoacyl-tRNA synthetases). tRNAs cope with the degeneracy of the genetic code in two manners: having more than one tRNA (with a specific anti-codon) for a particular amino acid; and 'wobble' base-pairing, i.e. permitting non-standard base-pairing at the 3rd anti-codon position.
Source: RNAcentral